Molecule: ribosomal RNA, 497 nt
Filed under: uncultured bacterium
Lineage: Bacteria
Description: bacterial SSU rRNA
Rfam family: Bacterial small subunit ribosomal RNA
Source: RNAcentral
AACAAACGCUGGCGGCGUGCCUAACACAUGCAAGUCGAACGCGAAAAUCGGCUUCGGCCGAUGAGUAAAGUGGCGCACGGGUGAGUAACGCGUGGAUAAUCUACCCUUCAGUUGGGAAUAACUUAUCGAAAGGUGAGCUAAUACCGAAUAAAAACUGCCUGACCACGGUCGGGUAGUCAAAGAUAGCCUCUGCUUGCAAGCUUUCGCUGAAUGAUGAGUCCGCGUACCAUUAGCUAGUUGGUGGGGUAAUGGCCUACCAAGGCGACGAUGGUUAGCUGGUCUGAGAGGAUGAUCAGCCACACUGGAACUGAGACACGGUCCAGACUCCUACGGGAGGCAGCAGUGAGGAAUCUUGCGCAAUGGGGGAAACCCUGACGCAGCAACGCCGCGUGAGUGAGGAAGGUCUUCGGAUCGUAAAGCUCUGUCGGGUGGAAGAAAUGUAUGGGGUUAAUAGCCUUCAUACUUGACGGUACCACCAAGAAGCACGGCUAACUCCG